This 250-nucleotide unclassified non-coding RNA is filed under the name uncultured Talaromyces. RNAcentral describes it as "sequence contains ITS2". The record is from RNAcentral. Lineage: Eukaryota; Fungi; Ascomycota; Eurotiomycetes; Eurotiales; Trichocomaceae.
AACGCACAUUGCGCCCCCUGGCAUUCCGGGGGGCAUGCCUGUCCGAGCGUCAUUUCUGCCCUCAAGCACGGCUUGUGUGUUGGGUGUGGUCCCCCCCGGGGACCUGCCCGAAAGGCAGCGGCGACGUCCGUCUGGUCCUCGAGCGUAUGGGGCUUUGUCACUCGCUCGGGAAGGACCUGCGGAGGUUGGUCACCACCAUAUUUUACCACGGUUGACCUCGGAUCAGGUAGGAGUUACCCGCUGAACUUAA